This is an RNA transcript of Solenopsis invicta (red fire ant), 3313 nucleotides long. It is a transcript of the gene named alpha-tocopherol transfer protein-like, with no coding region annotated. Lineage: Eukaryota; Metazoa; Arthropoda; Insecta; Hymenoptera; Formicidae. The transcript is spliced from 7 exons. The record is from RefSeq and is a predicted model, not a curated record.
UAAGCGAGAGUCAAGUAGAGGGAAUGACGCAAACAUUGGCCGCAUUCAGCGGACAGUUUUACAUCAUCUAUUAGACUUUCCACUGAAUCUCGAGAUUUGUUCGCUCCAACAUAUUUCAACUCACUCUAACGUGCUCCAAAAGUGAUUCAAAUAAUCUAAGUGCUCUCUGGUCUACAUUGGAGCAUGCGACACGAAUGAACCUUCAGUGUUGACUUAUCGGUUCUAAAUUUAAAAAAGAUUGCAAAAAAAGUAAAAGCAAAUCACGUUCGACUGUUACUAAGUUACUUGUUCUGCUGAAUGCGCAUUGAUAACGCAGUAAGUGUACGUUCGCAUUGGCUCGCAGGUGCGAGUGCAUGCACUCACGUGUGUUGUCAAUGGCUGAGUCUCGUGGAACGUAUGAUGCGCAUGUAUUAUUUUAUCCUUGUUUAAUGUUCGGUGAUCAACAAGAAUGAAAUGACAUAUCACCCACAUCAUGCUCUUUAACUCGGCCAUUGUGUGCGUCAUCCACUUCACUCUCGCCUGACUCUGAUCUUGAAAUCGGCAACACUGGCUAUAACUUUGACGCGCAUAUAUGUAUUAUCAUCAUGUAGCUAGUGCUCAUAGAAGUUACACGUAACACGUAAUUUCCUGCCCCACUCUAAUUAAAAUUUGACUUAUAAUACAAUUCAAAUUUGCUUCUGCAGUAGAAAACCGGUUACAGCAGUGUUCAAUAAGUUUCUAGACUGUAUAGUACAUCUUCAUUAGCUUUAAGAAUAUUGCAUUAAUGUGCGGAAGAUAAGUGUUGAAAAGAUAUUUCUCGAACACAAUCAGAUAUAGUAAAAUACAUUUUUAUUGUAAUUCAAACUAAGUUUCAAUGUCACUAAUAAAAAGAAUCACAUUAGAAGAGGAAAUGGAAAAAAGUUCUGAAUUGAAACUAUCGGAUAUACAAUCACUGAAAGAAUGGUGCGAGAAACAACCGCACUUGCCAAAAAUUGAGGAUAGUUUUCUCGCCUUGUUUCUUCACAGCAAUUAUUAUCAAAUGGAACAAACAAAAAACACAAUAGAAAAUUAUUAUACGAUUAGAACGCAUGUACCAGAAUUUUUUUCCAAUCGAGAUCCGCUCGGGAACAAGGAAUUACGACAAGCUUUUAAAAUUAUGACCCGUUUUCCCUUAAAUGGAGUAACGAAGGAUGGCUACACAAUGAUAUAUGGAACAAUUCUGGAUGCCGAUCCUUCUCAUUAUAAUUACAAUGACGUCACCAAAUAUUUCUUUAUGUUAAUGGAUGUAUUGUUUCUGACGCACGGUAUAAACAACGGUUAUGUCAAUAUCAUCGAUGUUGGUAAAUUGUCAUUCGGUCAUGUCACGCGAAUGAAUCUGUCGGCAGCCAAGAAAAAUUCUUUUUACAUCCAAGAAGCAGUACCGAUGCGUUUAAAGGAAAUCCAUAUUAUAAACGCACCACCUGCCUUGGAAUUGCUCAUAAAUAUUUUUAGACCUUUGUUGAAGAAAGAGCUGAUAGACAUGGUACAUGUUCAUUCAUCGUUGGAAAGCCUUUCUAAAUACAUACCGUUAGAUGCGCUACCGAAUGAGUUGGGUGGAAAAGGAGGUUUUAUACAAGAAUUAGCUGAUAAUCAAAUAAAGCUACUCGAGGACUAUCGUGAAUGGUUCCUGCUGGAUGAAACAACUGGACGCGUUAAUGAAGCGUUGAGAAUUAACACACCGAGAAAACAGUCUUGUUGCAUUACUUAGAAAUCUAAUAGAUUUAACAAGUUUUUAAAAUUGCGAUUUUCUGACGACUUGCUCGCACUGGGUUAAUGUAACCUGGACACGAACUCAAUGCGACCACUGAGAAUUAACAUAAACGUGCUCAUCGCCAAGAAUAAUGGAGUUUACUUUGAUGACAAGCAGGUCAAGUCAUCCACACUGCUCUUUCCUCUUGCACCGAAUGCGAGCGAAGCAGUGUGCACCUUUUCUCUGAGUUUGACGAACACGGAGUCGCAACUUCUCAGCCGGUUUGCCGCUGGCUGGGAGAUCAAGGGAAGUCUUUGUGUUGUUGCGCAUCAUAGAAAACUGUACACGUUGAGGUAUAUCGAUGAUGAUGAUGAUAUCAGAGGUUCAACCCUGCGUACAAUUGAUUCAUACCAACGAUAGCACUAUCGUGGACAUUCUUCCUGUGAAGAGGCGAGACAAAGUGGCAGGUUUACUGCUUCUCACGGAACACGCAAACGUGGUAAUUUUUGUACAUGAUGGAGGUGAUAGAUCCGAACCGAGAUAUGGACUAGUUUUUGAGAAGAUAUACCUUAAAGAAAACAUAAGAGACAGAACGCUUUGCGCCAGUUUCAGUUUAUGUACGGAGAAAGUUUUGUGGCUGGUAUACUGCGAUCAAUUCAGGAUACAUUAUGUAAAAAAGGAGCUAUUUGUUGAUGCAAUUCAAGAAGUGAAAGUGGAGGAAAGAAUAUUUACGUGUUUGCAGUAUUAUAAACCGAAUGUGAUUCUAAGUUUAUCACAAGAGAAAGAAUUGAUCGAGAUUUCUCUCGAAGAUUUGGACAACUCUUUGUUAACCGACAACAAUAUCGUUCUUCAUCAUGGGAUGUUUCAAAAAACGGAUAUUAUUAUGGAGAAAAUUUGUGCCAAAGUACAAGAAUUGAAUGCGCUGUACGAAACUUUAUCGGAUGAGCAAGACAAAUUAAAGAGGAUAAAUCUGUACGCUAGCAAACAAAAACUGCAGAUAAAUCCUCAUAUUGAAGUGUCUAAGUUGUUUAAGUAUCGCUAUCUCGAUUUAAAUAUAUCAAACAAGCUGCCUAAAAACAGUUAUAUAGUGUUCUCUUUUGCUUCUAAAAAUCAACGCACAUUCUGUUUGAAGAGAGUCACGGAGGGUCAUGCAUUCACAAUGAAAAUGCCUAUCAAUGAGAAUCAGAUACUGUGAUCUUCGUCAAUCAGCAUAGAUUUGAUCACGUUAAUGAAUAAACAACGUCCAUGGUGCCUUAUACAAAACUUUGUAAACUCAUCGCCGCGUGAUGUUAAGAGGAAACGAGGACCAAGGAAAGACAAAAUUGCCUUUAUAGACGCUAAAAUAAUGUCGUUACAACGUUUGAUAAAGGAAAAGGAAUUAAGCAUGACAAAAUUGUGCGAAAUCAAAAGAAUCAUACGUGCAGAAUUAUAAUUUCGUAGAUGUAGUAAUAGUAGUAAUAGUAGUAGUAGUAGUAGUAGUAGUAGUAGUAGAAGAAGAAAGUUCUUAGCUUUAAGUUUUGCAUCCGGAGCGUCAUUUCAAAUUGAAUUGAAAUAUUUUUCUAUUCUUUUGUAAUUUAGAAAUAUUAGAUGUUUUUUUUAACUGAA